AUGCGGCCAGAGGAGGCAUUUGCCCGUGUUCGAGGUCACCUCAUGCCGUACAUGACCCUAGAGGACGCGGCGGCCAUCUACCGGGCCCUGCGGGAGGAGGAGGGGCCCGCGACCUCGCAUCACCGCGAGGUGGUCAUCACCAACCGCGAAGUCCUGCUGGCCAAGUACGACUCCUACCGCAGCAUCGUGGAGCAGGCUGACUUGCUGGACAGGGUGAGCGUUCAUGUGGAGGAGGCGUUGACGCUUCGUCUCCAGGCGCAGUUUCAGACUUCUGUUGCAGAUCUUGGGACGGCCCUGACAAGUCUUAGGGAGCACGCAUGGCGGAUGGUGUUCCUCUACCUGCGGGAAGGCAACAUUUUGGAGGCGAAGCAUUAUCUUGAUAUAUGCUUUCCAAGGGUAUCCCAGAUUAUUGACAACAACCCAUCUAUAGCCUUCCAAGCUUAUGAACAUCUGUUGACAACCCUCGAGGCCGAUUUUGAUGGCGAGGAACUGGAUCCGAUGUUUCACAUGCACAAUUUCUUGGCUUGCUUAGCAUGUUAUAGAUUGAUGUACAUCAAGGGAACAAACCUAGCAUUCAUCAUCUCUUUGGUUGAGUGCUUUGUGGCGGAUAUGGUAAAGAAGAGGGAUUAUCUGAUGGGUCGACUCACAGUACGGACAUUGAUCGGCGCUGCACCCACAAAUUAA
This 684-nucleotide ribosomal RNA is filed under the name Triticum aestivum (bread wheat). RNAcentral describes it as "partial small subunit ribosomal RNA". Lineage: Eukaryota; Viridiplantae; Streptophyta; Magnoliopsida; Poales; Poaceae. The record is from RNAcentral.